Long non-coding RNA from Plodia interpunctella (Indianmeal moth), 1624 nucleotides. RefSeq lists it as uncharacterized. The record is from RefSeq and is a predicted model, not a curated record. Lineage: Eukaryota; Metazoa; Arthropoda; Insecta; Lepidoptera; Pyralidae. The transcript has 2 exons.
AGUGUAGUACACACUACUACAAGAUUCAACUUCACUUCACUUCAUUUUAACUUCAGGCUAGCCUACUUUUAAACGAACGCCACAUUAAAAAAAUCUGACAAUUUAGGGUAUUAAUAUAAAAACUUAUUUAUGCCAUGGUUUAAUCAACAAACGCGUCAUUCCGUUGAGCACAGUUGUGGGUGCAUUGCUUUUGUUUGGUGUGAUAAUUUUAUACGUAGAACUUUGUGUGAUAAAUUAUGAGUUAUUCAAGGAGCCUGACACUCAAUGAAACUAUUGAGGAAUUGGAAAAAGGUUAUGAUCAACCUAUACCCGACAUUAUCACUAUUUUACCACCCGAAAAUAGUAAUGCUGACGGAACAGAUGAAGAUUCUGGUGAUGAAAAUGUCGUGUUGAUCCACAACUUGCCAGGAUAGUAGAUUCAUUUUCGUGAGUUAUCUAGUGAUAGUGACAGUGAUGACGAGCUAACAUUGGCUCAAUUGUCUAACCGAAGGCGACUUCGUCAAGAUGAGAUAAGUACUUCCCAACUAGAUUCUCCGACAAUAUGUCUUCGCCAGUCCCAUCUCCUUCUGGCUUUCAAAAAAACAGUUGUACCAAAAAAUAAGCUGUAUAAAUGGAUUGCAUGAGACAUACCUGCAAACUAAGGUAUGGCAAAAAGCAGGAAGCUAUAAUGAAUAAAGAUCCUAUGUAUUUUUUCAAUUGUUUAUGCGAUGAUGAGAUUACUGGGCGCUAGUGCGAUUGGCAGUGCGCUGAUGUUCUUCGCUAACUCGGAAGCACAUCUAUCCCAUUCAUCGAUGUACUACGUGUAAGAGGUUUGAAAGCUACUGGUACUAUUAGGGAAAAUUGGUUGUCCCAAUGUUACUCUCCCGUCAAAAGGAAAUGAAGAAAAGAGAUCGUGGAGCCUACAAGCACAUGUCCACAAGAAAUGAACAAAUUUUAAUUUGUAAAUGGAAUGACAACAGCCGUAGUACCUGUUUCAUCGAUUGCCAGGAAAGUGCGAUCCACCCAUAGAAAAAUAAAAAGAUACAUACCUAAGUAUCGAUCAACCAGCCCUUAUAAGAUUUUUAAUGAAAACAUGGGAGGAGUAGACAGGUGUGAUAAAAAUGUAGCAUUGUAUUGAACUUGUAUACGCGGAAAAAAUGGUAUUUUUCACUAAUUUCUCACUGUUUAGUAUGACCAUAUUUCUUUUAUCUAUGAAUAAGAUUCAGGUAUUAACUGGCCCAAAAUAUGACCCUUCAUAACGCUUGGCUUGACUAUUACGACUGGUUUACUUGAAACACAUUAAAAAAAGUGUGAAUCUGAAAGUUGGUCGCAAGUGUCAGAAUUUUGGAGAAAUUUUGAGGUAUGGUGAUAUUUUAUCAUACCUCAUUGGACAUUAUUAUUAAAUAUAAGGAAAGUAGAUUACAAUGUGCCACAAGAAAGCAAUUUUUUUUUGCAAAAUGUGUUAAAGUACAUUGCAUUGCUAAACAAUGUUUUGAAAAUUAUCAUACGCUCGAUAUAUAAAUAGUGUAUUUAAGUUAAUAUCACCUAUAUGUAACCAAUAAAUAUAUGUCAUUAUAUUAGACAUAUAUUUUCUAGCAUAAAACUGUAAAGCAAGCCUCAAAGGACCGGGCUACGGCCCGUAAAA